Cottoperca gobio is the source of this 1522-nucleotide long non-coding RNA. RefSeq lists it as uncharacterized. The transcript is spliced from 3 exons. NCBI's taxonomy places the organism in Eukaryota, Metazoa, Chordata, Actinopteri, Perciformes, Bovichtidae. The record is from RefSeq and is a predicted model, not a curated record.
UUUACAGGAAAUCAGUUGUCAGUGCUUUCAUUGCCCAGUUCCAUGAUUUCAAUAAAAGGGAACUUGAAAUUAUUUCAAGUGUGAAGUGUUUAAGACAAACUACAUGACUUCCCUCACGACCCUGACUGACAACGUUGGAACCUUGCACGAUCAUGAUUGUCAAUAAUACUUGUGUCCCUGAAAAUGACACGGCCACAUGUGCGGCCCCCAGCUCCCGUUCAGCUCUGGCUGUCGGGCUGAUAUUAUUCUUUCUGCUGCUUUUGAUUGCAGCUGGUGUAAUCUUGUUCAAAUGCCAAAGUAAAAUGAGAAAUAUGUUGCAAUUUGGACAAAGAAGAAGCCAGAAAAAGGAGGACAAUACGGAGACACCACAAGACGAUUCCCAUCAGUACAUCAGUAUCAAUCAGUCAACAGUAGAGACCCCUAUUUAUGAAAACCUGACAACUCGAACUACUAGAUACAACAGGCCUGCAGUAAACAAGAGCAAGUUUCCAGGUGAACCUGAAGAGGAUGUGUACUUGCAGUGUGAUUCACCAGAUGAUGCAAUAUACGGCAAUGAUCCUACAUGUAAUCUCUCCAUCCACCCAGACUCCCAAGAAGAAGAUGUGUAUAUUGUGCCAGAUUCAUAAUAGGACACGUCUCUAUUCAGUGCUCAAACUAUAAAUGUACAUUUAAAGCAAAUAUUUGCUGCUGCUUUUUAAUACAGCUGAGCAGUAAACAAGAAAAAAUACUGUAGUAAAUCCACAAUCAGAAUAGUUAAUACUUAUAUCUUAUUGUAUAGUCUGUAAAAUUAGGAAAGGAAUGAUAUGCAUAAUCUCUAUAUAUUCUGUUACCUGUGAACUUUCAUUGCUACUGCUUUUGAGUUCAUUUAAGAUCUGCAAAUAACCACAUUUUGACAACAAUCCAAGUUAACUAAAUUUUCUGAUAAGAUUUGAUAGUUUUAUGGCUUUCUUUUGAUACGCCUGGAAUUACAGAUUAAUCACCUUUCAUUUUGAGUUAACAAAUAAAUUCUACAAAUGACUUUUUUUAAUAGAUUAAAAAAGUAAAAAGAGGUAUUUGAAAUGUUCCACACUUAUGCACAUAAGUAGGUGGAUGUGUGUAAUUAUAUGAUAUAGUAUUCAUUGUGCUUUAUAUAAUAAUUAUUAUUAUAGAUGUUGAUGUGGAUGUGAAUUAUAGAUGUGGUCCAUAAACUUUUUCUAUUUGCACAUUUUAAAUAUUUAUAUCUCUCAAAGUGUUUCAAAGGUAGCCACCAUUUAAAACAGCUGCGUCCUUGUUCAAUGAUUUCAUUGAAUUAAUUAUGUUGCUUUGUAUGGUAACCAUAACAAAUGUUGUGAGAUGAUGAAGAUGAAACGCAUGUUAACAUAAUAUCAAGAACAAUUUGCAAUUGCAUUUUCAUUUGAACUAUGAUGUUCUCAUGUAAAAGUCUUUAGCUAACAGCCACCUGUAACGUGUCUUAUUAGGUUUAGAAAAAAAUGUGAGAAUACAAUUUACUGACUCACUUUCCAAUAAAUACUGUACAUUCAGA